Molecule: long non-coding RNA, 513 nt
Filed under: Lactuca sativa (garden lettuce)
Lineage: Eukaryota; Viridiplantae; Streptophyta; Magnoliopsida; Asterales; Asteraceae
Description: long non-coding RNA (LSAT_LNC001682)
Source: RNAcentral
GCUCGACUCGUUUUUAUCAGGCGUGCCUAAAUAAGCUUAAGUUCGGCUCGAGCUCGUUAAAAAGCUCGUUAACUAAUACCCGAAAUUCAUAAUUCCCCUAAUAUGUUUUUAUUUUAAUAUAUAUAUAUAUAAAUAGUAAUAAAUAAUAUUAUAUAAAGGCUCGUUUAGGCUCGCGAGCCUAAUCNGUAAAGAGUUAUACAAGCUCGGCUUGGGCUCGAGCUCGACUCGUUUUUAUCGGGCGUGCCUAAAUAAGCUUAAGCUCAGCUCGAGCUCGUUAACUAACACCCGAAAUUCAUAAUUCCCCUAAUAUGUUUUUAUUUUAAUAUAUAUAAAUAAUAAUAAAUAAUAUUAUAUAAGGCCUCAUUUAGGCUCGCGAGCCUAAUCGAGCUUUGUAACAUAGGCUUGAGCUCGAGCUCGUUUAAUAAACAAGCUUAAUAUUAAGCUCGAGCUCGGCUCGGGCUCGUUUAAAAUCGGUUUCGAGUCGAGCUUUUAACGAUCCGAUCUCGAGUAGCU